CCCUACCUCCACUACCCGCAGGAUCCCCAGCCCCCCAUGCCCCGCCCGGUCAUCCCCUUCCCCAUGCCCAACCCGAACGCGAACCCCAACCCGGGCGCUAACCCCAUGGCCGCCGGGGGCGCCAACCCCGGCGCUCGCCUCAUGCAGCUGCUCGGCAGCUCCGGGUCGGGCCACCUCGAGUCCGCGGUAUCUAUGCCCCCGCCGUCGUCGGAGUUCGCCGCCGCGCAGCCGUCGCCGCUCCCGGCGAUGCCAUCCGCGCCGCCGGCGAGGAUGCUCAGCAGCACCAGCAGCAAGGUGCCGAGAGGUCGGCUUCUGGGUGGCGGGGACAAGGCGGUGCACAACGUCGACUCGAGGCUGCCUGGGGAGGCGCAGCCGCCACAGCUGGAGGUGACGCCGAUCACCAAGUACACGUCAGACCCAGGUCUUGUGCUGGGCAGGCAGAUCGCUGUAAACCGGACGUACAUCGUCUAUGGGCUCAAGCUGGGGAACAUCCGUGUGCUAAACAUCAACACCGCGCUUCGGUCACUGCUCCGUGGCCAUACACAGAGGGUCACGGACAUGGCUUUCUUCGCUGAGGACGUCCAUCGUUUAGCAAGCGCAAGUGUGGAUGGACGGAUAUACGUGUGGAGGAUUGAUGAGGGGCCCGAUGCAGAAAAUAAACCACAAAUUACAGGAAAGAUAGAAGUUGCCAUACAAAUUGUAGGUGAUGCUGUAGCUUACCAUCCAAGGAUAUGUUGGCACUCUCAUAAGCAAGAACUUCUGUUUGUUGGAAUCAGAAACUGUGUCUUAAGAAUAGACACAACUAAAGUUGGAAGGGGAAGAGACUUUAGUGUUGAAGAACCUAUCAAAUGUCAUCUUGAUGAGCUUAUUGAUGGUGUACGCUUGGUUGGUAGGCAUGAUGGUGAUGUGACAGAUUUGUCCAUAUCUCAGUGGAUGACUACCCGACUGGCUUCAGGAUCAAAUGAUGGCAUGGUAAAGAUUUGGGACGAUCGCAAGUUAGCACCUCUAUCGAUUCUAAAGCCACAUGAUGGUCAAGCUGUUUACUCAGUUGCCUUUCUUACAGCACCUGAGCGCCCGCAUCAUAUAAAUCUCAUCACUGCUGGUCCUCUAAACCGAGAAAUUAAAAUUUGGGCUUCUACUAAUGAAGAAGGUUGGUUGUUGCCAAGCGACUCUGAGACUUGGAAUUGCACGCAGACUCUGGAACUUGUUAGUUCUCUGGAACCUAAAGUCGAGGAGGCAUUUUUCAACCAAGUCGCAGUGCUGCCUCAAGCAAGCAUUAUCUUACUUGCGAAUGCGAAGAAGAAUGCUAUUUACGCUGUGCAUGUUGAGUAUGGCUCAGACCCCGCUUCUACCCGCUUGGAUUAUAUCGCAGAUUUUACAGUCGCGAUGCCUAUUUUAAGUCUUACUGGCACACAUGAAAGCCAACCUGAUGGUGAGCAGGUAGUUCAAGUCUAUUGUGUCCAAACAAUGGCCAUCCAGCAGUAUGGGCUGGAGUUAUCACUUUGUUCGCCUCCUACAUCUGACACUACCUCAUUUGGAAGAGACCCUGCUAUUUCACGUGUUUAUGAUACACCUCUGGAAGUGGUAGGAGCAGAGUCAUCCACGGGAACUAGCUUUACAGAUUCUUAUACCGUCGGUACUUCGAGUAAACAAUCAACUUUUGAUCAGACUGCAGAGUUUGAUCUUAAGCCAUCAGCUCCACCACUUACAUACACAGAAGGUGAUGGUUCUGCGCAUCUUCAGUCUGCCCCUCUUGCAUCAAACACUGAUCUUACUGGAUCAGGACCAUCAGUAGGCAACCGUGACAAAGACCAAUCAGCUUUUGAUUAUUCGACAAGCCGAAUCACUGAGCCAGUUGCCUUGACUAGGCAAGAUACACCCAUGCCAAAGGACAAUUUUGGAAAGGAUGAAUUAAGAGACAGCCACAGUGAUGUUCAGAUGCUCCCAAAUCCUCGCAUGAUGUUUAAGGUAGGAGGAAAUGCCACUCAUCUCAUAACUCCAUCUGAAAUUAUAUCAGGUGCUCUGUCUGCUGAAAGCAAUCAGAUCUCUAAAUCUGAUGGCGCAAAAAUCCAGGAUGACUCUAUUAGUAGCCCUCGGAUUGCAGAAGUGGAAGCAAAACAUGUCGAUGAGAGUAAAUCUAAUCAUGAUUUGGAACUUGAAGCUGUCAAGGAAGCUCAAGUUGUCUGUGAGAACUCAGAGAAAGAUCAAAAUUCGUUGGAGCAAACUGUUGAAAUGAUCAGUGAGCGUUCAGUAACAACUGAUAAGUAUAGCGUGGAAGAAUCACGGUCACCAUCUGAUAGACUGGUCCCUGACCAUACUGGUGCUGCUGGAGAAAAUGUUUCAAACAAAACCGUAGAAAAACCUGGCAUAAGUGACUCCUCUGUGUCUAGGGAGCAAUCAUCUUCAUAUACAAAGGACAAGGUUUUUCAUCCUCAAGCAUCUGGUCAGUCAUCACCUUCUACAAGCGCAUUUAACUCAACUGAGUCUUCACAUGAACCUGUCAGCAGUGCAUACCCUCCUAUUCAAUCCUCUUCAGAAGUUGCCGAUAUGCUGCAACAGCUAAUAGCCAUGCAGAAGGAUAUGCAGAAGCAGCUAGGUACUAUCGUUAUUGCUCCCAUUGCGAAGGAAGGCAAAAGAAUUGAAACAUCACUAGGCCGUACAAUGGAAAAAUCUAUCAAGGCUAGCAUUGAUGCCUUGUGGGCUCGUUUCCUGGAGGAGAACACAAAACGUGAGAAGGCUGAAAGGGAGCGAAUGCAGCAAAUGACCACUCUCAUCACAAGCUCAAUAAACAAGGACCUUCCUGCUAUGUUGGAUAAGUUAGUAAAGAAAGAAGUUUCUUCACUUGGACCUGUUGUUGCACGGGCAAUGACACCUAUUAUUGAGAAGUCCUUAACUUCUAUAGUUGCUGAUGCAGUUCAGAAAGCGGUGGGUGACAAGGUGGUGAAUCAGCUGGACAAAUCUGUUACUGCAAAACUUGAAGCUACACUUGCUAGGCAAAUCCAAAUGCAAUUUCAUACAUCUGUAAAACAGACUCUUCAGGAUGUUUUACGCACUAGCUUUGAAUCAUUGCUUGUUCCAGCAUUUGAACAAUCAUGCAAGACAAUGUUUGAGCAAGUAGACAGUGCAUUCCAGAAAGGAAUGUCUGAGCAUGCUGUUGCUAUUCAGCAGCAGGUUGAGGCAGCACAUACUCCAUUGGUGCUUACUUUAAAGGAAACUAUCACUUCUGCAUCCUCAAUCACCCAGAAUCUCACAUCAGAGUUACUUGAUGGGAAUCGCAAAAUUUUGGCGCUGGUUACAUCUGGCAAUGCCAAUGCGCAAAAUACAAAUGUUCUGCAGCCCAACAAUGGUCCUAUCACUGGCCCGCCAGAGGUCGAGGCACCAUUAGACCCGAUGAAGGAGCUGGGAAGACUGCUAGCUGAACACAAAUUUGACGAGGCUUUUACAGUAGCACUUCAAAGAAGUGACGUGUCAAUUGUGUCUUGGUUAUGCUCUCAGGUUGAUUUGCGUGGAUUAUGUACAAUGGCCCCAGUCCCUCUGAACCAGGGAGUCCUCCUAGCCCUACUCCAGCAGCUAGCAGUUGAUAUUGGCACCGAGACAUCCCGGAAAAUUCAGUGGAUGACAGAUGUUGCCAUGGCGAUCAAUCCGACAGACCAAGUCAUCGCCAUACAUGUGAGGCCUAUCUUCGAGCAAGUCUACGCCAAAUUGGCUCACCACCGGUCGCUCCCCACCACCAGUCCAUUGGAUAACAGCAAUCUUCGCUUGCUUAUGCAUGUCAUCAACUCAGUUCUGCUUAGCUACAAGUGA
RNAcentral lists this ribosomal RNA (3804 nucleotides) under Triticum aestivum (bread wheat). RNAcentral's name for it is "partial small subunit ribosomal RNA". Lineage: Eukaryota; Viridiplantae; Streptophyta; Magnoliopsida; Poales; Poaceae. The record is from RNAcentral.